AGUGAACGCUGGCGGUAGGCCUAACACAUGCAAGUCGAACGGCAGCACAGUAAGAGCUUGCUCUUACGGGUGGCGAGUGGCGGACGGGUGAGGAAUACAUCGGAAUCUACUUUUUCGUGGGGGAUAACGUAGGGAAACUUACGCUAAUACCGCAUACGACCUACGGGUGAAAGCAGGGGAUCUUCGGACCUUGCGCGAUUGAAUGAGCCGAUGUCGGAUUAGCUAGUUGGCGGGGUAAAGGCCCGCCAAGGCGACGAUCCGUAGCUGGUCUGAGAGGAUAAUCAGCCACACUGGAACUGAGACACGGUCCAGACUCCUACGGGAGGCAGCAGUGGGGAAUAUUGGACAAUGGGCGCAAGCCUGAUCCAGCCAUACCGCGUGGGUGAAGAAGGCCUUCGGGUUGUAAAGCCCUUUUGUUGGGAAAGAAAAGCAGCAGGUUAAUACCCCGCUGUUCUGACGGUACCCAAAGAAUAAGCACCGGCUAACUUCGUG
This 492-nucleotide ribosomal RNA is filed under the name uncultured bacterium. RNAcentral describes it as "partial 16S ribosomal RNA". It matches the Rfam family "Bacterial small subunit ribosomal RNA", at positions 29 to 507 of the family's 1533-position model. The record is from RNAcentral.